CUUUUUUUGAAGCUGAAAUCUUUUUGAUUUCCAUCUUAAAAUUUUGUUUACAAUUUAAAAUCAAGUUUUUCACUAUAUUCAAUGUUUUGUUGGUUAGUGAAGUAUAGUAAUGGUAAGCUUUUAGAUGAUGGACAGAGUCAAGUAAAUGGUUCAAGACAGAUCGCCUUUUAAAAGACUGUAAAAGGGCCAAGGUUGAUGAUGAGGAGAUGAAGACGAUGAUUUUUCCCUCUAAGAUGAGUCUUGUGGAUAGAGUAUCUUAAGACAUGAGUAAGACAAUGAAGAAAGAGAAGAAAACCAAAUUAAUGGUCCUGUUUGUUUACGAGUUCAUUGAAAAUUGACUCCUGUCAACCAUAUGAGAGUUGGUAUAUUUACAUCUCACUGUGCAGUCAAGAAACAUGAAGGAAAAGAGGACACGCGUUCGCGUGUCUACCUCACCAAUGUCUUUCAACCUCUGGCUCGUGUCACAGGAAAGUUAACGAAUCAAAUUGACUCAGCAAUCAAGUGAGGACUCCUAACAAUAACAAACAAGAGACCUGAAUGUCUUGAAGGAAGGAGAAAGUCUAAGAGUAUCAAUAAAAUACUUCCGUUUGGUAUCUUCUUUCCGCUUUCCGUUACUCUUUAUCACCAAAAAAAGCUGGAUGACCUCUUCAACUUUACCGUAGACAAGUGAGGCAAAGAGUAACGACCCUUCGAUGAAAUGGAUUGUACGAGCAAUGAUAAAUCCUUCCUUUCGACCAUAAGGUUACAAGUGUUUUCCUGUUGUUAUUGCAAACUGAUAUUUCGUCUUCACUCAUCUUUUCAAACAUUUCAACCUGACCCAGCCCGAUUCUAGAUUCAUUAGCAUCAUUGGAAUCAUUGCUUGUUUAUAAAUCUGUUUCCAUUAUAUGGAAAUAGUGGAAAAUUGUUUAUUUACAAAAGACCACAGACCUUUUUGACCUUCAUCAACAUGCGUUCCCAUCUGGGUUGAUUAACGUUAUAUAAAUAAUAUAAACGUUUUCUUCUCUCACCCGAUUUCUUGGUAACCAUUUUUGAUAAAAAUUACUGCUUCAUUUUCAUCUCUUUCUUGCCAUCUUUCUAGCCACUGAUGUUAAUAAAGAUGAUGAUCAACAAAAGGAAUUACAAGCACCAAUGGAACAAAAAAUAACCAAAAAGCAAAGAAAAUAAUUUGCAGAUAACGGGGGUGAAACUAAAUUGACCGAACCAGGACCAGAUCUCUAAACAUUUAGCUCAUAAGCAACAUUCAUGCUUUGCAAACUUGCAGCUAAAAAAUCUUAUCUCAACCUGAACUUCUUUGUGUCUGGUAAAGCCUAAAAUCUAUCAUCUUUACCUAUCCUCGUGUCCAAUAAUUUAAAGAGGAAACAUCGUUUUACUCGUUAUUUACUUUCUUGGUAAAACAAAUUGACUGCGAAUCAAGAGCAAUUAACUGUUGAAACUGUUCAUUCUUCCUGGUGAUUUUAACACAUUUGAAUAUACAUUUCGACUGAACUUCAAAGCUAACAACAUGAUCUUAUGAAAACAACAAAUUUAAAAGACGACUUGCAGAUAAAGACUUAAGACAAAUUUCAGACGUGAACAUUUAAAAUGAACUUUCAAUGGUAGUCUGUCAGUGACUUGUAAAUUACAUUUUCCUUUAAACCGUUAACGAUUAAUAUUACCUUCUUUUUUCACCCAAUUGUGAAAACAAAAAUUACACUAACCUAAUCCCUUGAAAGUUUCCCAAAAAAGCUCAAAUCGACAAGUGAGACGAACAAAUGUGAACCAAAGAUGAUGGUAAUGAUAAAGUUGAAAGGGAAACAAAUUCUGAAAGCAUUCAAAGACCAAGUUUAAGGCUAUUUUGGCUGCAACGUUAAAUCAUUUGGACUGGAUUUAUCGAAAUACAAUACAAAUCUUUGGAAUGGGAAGGUUGCUCAAAGUUUCCAUUUCUUCUUCUAGCAUCAAAGCCAAAGUCAAAGGAAUGGAACCGUUAUUAUAUUUCCCUGUGAAAUGUUUCAAUGUCAACUUUUGCAUUAUUUUCAUUUGCUAUUACGUCAAGAUGAAAGACAAUAUUGUUUCAGUGCAAGAGCAAAGUCCUCAACUUUGCUCGUAUUUUGGCUUUUACGAAAUACCGAUUAUGCAGAAAUCUGGAAACCCCAAUCUCUGGCAACUUUAAUUGACUUUGUUAAUUUUAAUCAGUCGUUUAAAAACAAAAUAAGAACAUUUUAAUCAACUUUUGUGUAUGAAAAAGUUGUCAUAAAUUAAAAUGGAAAUCAGAAGAUUAAGUGAAAUUAUUUCAUGGGAUUAUUGAUUGUAAUACUAAAUAAGCAAUUUGAUUUUGAAACAAGUUGUAUCAUUAUUAAUAAAGGCUGAAAAUGUGAAUACUUUUAGUAUUCCUUUAAACCUUUCUAUUGUCAGAUGAUUGUGGCUUCAAAAACUGAGUUCAAGGGUUA
Molecule: non-coding RNA, 2426 nt
Organism: Tetranychus urticae (two-spotted spider mite)
Lineage: Eukaryota; Metazoa; Arthropoda; Arachnida; Trombidiformes; Tetranychidae
Source: RefSeq, a predicted model, not a curated record